This 84-nucleotide microRNA precursor is filed under the name Bombyx mori (domestic silkworm). Its description in RNAcentral is "mir-2807 microRNA precursor family". It matches the Rfam family "mir-2807 microRNA precursor family". Lineage: Eukaryota; Metazoa; Arthropoda; Insecta; Lepidoptera; Bombycidae. The record is from Rfam by way of RNAcentral.
UUAACUCGAAUUUGUAUGGAGUUGGAACGUUUGCGUACGUUUGCCGCUAGAGGCGCUGUUCCAACUGCAUACUAAAUUGGGUUA